CUCACCUGGAGCAUGUUUUCU
This 21-nucleotide microRNA is filed under the name Mus musculus (house mouse). RNAcentral describes it as "mmu-miR-1983". Lineage: Eukaryota; Metazoa; Chordata; Mammalia; Rodentia; Muridae. The record is from miRBase by way of RNAcentral.